This 435-nucleotide ribosomal RNA is filed under the name Triticum aestivum (bread wheat). RNAcentral's name for it is "partial small subunit ribosomal RNA". The record is from RNAcentral. Lineage: Eukaryota; Viridiplantae; Streptophyta; Magnoliopsida; Poales; Poaceae.
AUGUCGUGGCAGACGUACGUCGACGAGCACCUGAUGUGCGACAUCGAGGGCCACCACCUCGCCUCCGCGGCCAUCCUCGGCCACGACGGCACCGUCUGGGCCCAGAGCGCCGACUUCCCCCAGGUCACCGCCGAUUUCCUGUAUGAUCUCUCCCGCGUCCAGUUCGCGCCCGCCGAGAUCACUGCCAUCAUGAAGGACUUCGACGAGCCGGGGCACCUCGCCCCCACCGGCAUGUUCGUUGCAGGUGCCAAGUACAUGGUUAUCCAGGGCGAACCUGGCGCUGUCAUCCGUGGCAAGAAGGGAGCAGGAGGCAUCACCAUCAAGAAGACCGGGCAGGCGCUGGUGGUCGGCGCCUACGAGGAGCCCAUGACCCCUGGGCAGUGCAACAUGGUGGUGGAGAGGCUCGGCGACUACCUUGUCGAACAAGGCAUGUAG